AAUAAGUCAACAUACUGUAGACAAUCAGAGUCCAGGUUGGCGCCACAAGGCACUGGAAUUACACCCAGAAAAUGAAGCAAAAAUAGAGUAACACUUGUGGAAGCCUUCAGCAACGCAGACACCCCUUCCAUUGCCACAGACAAGAUGGUUGGAGCCCGAGUAGCACAGCUGCCCAUGGGAUACUGGAAGAAGAAAGAAACUUGUCAUGGAAAUGCAAAUAUGAGUGAACACAGAUCCCCAGGGGUGGAAGGUCUGUCCCGGAAAGACCUGGAUCUGGGAACCACAUGAAAGCAUGUCUUCAGCCUGGAUGAGCAGGAGCAGAACAAAGAUUCAUUCAUUGGCAGUCUGGGUCCACAGUUCCUGAGAAGCUGAGAUGCCAGACCACGCCAGUUCUGUGUCGCAUUCAGGAAGUGACUGCCAAUGUGAGCAAAUGACCUUUAGAGAUGUCCUUUCCUAUGAAUCUGAUCUGAUGCCAUUGGUGGUGAAAUUGUUCCUGAACUGGGGGUGCAGCUAAGUCCAAGGAAGAAUCCAGUAAUCAGAGCCCAAGUCUUGUGAUGGAGUUAGUUUUCUGAACCUCAGGAUUUCCCAAUAGAACAGAGAUGCUGAGACUGAGGAAGCACUACAGCAGCUGCUUAU
Long non-coding RNA from Mustela erminea (ermine), 636 nucleotides. RefSeq lists it as uncharacterized. Lineage: Eukaryota; Metazoa; Chordata; Mammalia; Carnivora; Mustelidae. The transcript is spliced from 5 exons. The record is from RefSeq and is a predicted model, not a curated record.